CUGCGGAGGGAUCAUUACUGAGUUCUUACAAACUCCAACCCUUUGUGAACCAUACCAACUGUUGCCUCGGCGUGAGCUGCGGCUGCUUGGUAGCUACCCGGUAGUCACCUACCCGGUACCUACCCUGUAGCGUCUGCAUAUAAGCCCGCCGAAGGACCACUAAACUCUGUUUGACAGUGUAUUCUGAAUGCUUCAACUAAAUAGUUAAAACUUUCAACAACGGAUCUCUUGGUUCUGGCAUCGAUGAAGAACGCAGCGAAAUGCGAUAAGUAAUGUGAAUUGCAGAAUUCAGUGAAUCAUCGAAUCUUUGAACGCACAUUGCGCCCAUUAGUAUUCUAGUGGGCAUGCCUAUUCGAGCGUCAUUUCGACCCUGAAGCCCUAGUUGCUUCGCGUUGGGACUCUACUGGCUACCCUGUAGUUCCCUAAUGACAGUGGCGGAGUUCAGGUGUACUCUCAGCGUAGUAAUUUCUUCUCGCUUUUGCAGUAGCCUGGUCCCCAGCCGUAAAACCCCCUAUUUUCUAGUGGUGACCUCGGAUUAGG
RNAcentral lists this ribosomal RNA (540 nucleotides) under fungal endophyte sp. ECD-2008. Its description in RNAcentral is "eukaryotic LSU rRNA". The stretch from base 209 to 362 matches the Rfam family "5.8S ribosomal RNA". The record is from RNAcentral. Lineage: Eukaryota; Fungi.